CGAGGUGUGGCUCAGUUUGGUAGAGCGCUACGUUCGGGACGUAGAAGUCGUGGGUUCGAAUCCCGUCACCUCGACCA
This 77-nucleotide transfer RNA is filed under the name Oscillospiraceae bacterium. RNAcentral describes it as "tRNA-Pro". It matches the Rfam family "tRNA". Rfam says of the family: Transfer RNA (tRNA) molecules are approximately 80 nucleotides in length. Their secondary structure includes four short double-helical elements and three loops (D, anti-codon, and T loops). Further hydrogen bonds mediate the characteristic L-shaped molecular structure. tRNAs have two regions of fundamental functional importance: the anti-codon, which is responsible for specific mRNA codon recognition, and the 3' end, to which the tRNAs corresponding amino acid is attached (by aminoacyl-tRNA synthetases). tRNAs cope with the degeneracy of the genetic code in two manners: having more than one tRNA (with a specific anti-codon) for a particular amino acid; and 'wobble' base-pairing, i.e. permitting non-standard base-pairing at the 3rd anti-codon position. Lineage: Bacteria; Bacillati; Bacillota; Clostridia; Eubacteriales; Oscillospiraceae. The record is from RNAcentral.